GCCUGGGUGGCUCAGUCGGUUAAGCGUCUGACUUCCGCUCAGGUCAUGAUCUCGCGGUUUGUGAGUUCAAGCCCCAUGUCAGGCU
Molecule: transfer RNA, 85 nt
Filed under: Felis catus (domestic cat)
Lineage: Eukaryota; Metazoa; Chordata; Mammalia; Carnivora; Felidae
Rfam family: tRNA
About the family: Transfer RNA (tRNA) molecules are approximately 80 nucleotides in length.
Source: Rfam by way of RNAcentral